AUUCUUCGACAAUGUUUCAAAACAAACACGGAAAUAAUUUUAACACCGUUUAUUAAACAAAAGGAAAAAAUUACAUACUGUAAGCAUGCCCUGACAACCCAUUAAAUCCGAUACUUUUCUUUUUAUAAAUUAAACAAAAAGCUAUCCGAAAAAAUCUAAUGACCUUUUCUUCAUUAUCUCUCCAAUGUGCAUAUAGCUCAUAAUACCGCCAAGUUACUAAGGCGAAGGAACAGCAGGGGAACGUUUUUAAUAGUCUGUGGGAUGGACAGUAGGAGUGAAAAAAAUACGGUCUGGAUAUAUUCCAAUCGGACUAGGAGUUACUAACAAUAUCUGAAGUUUAGUCAGAAGAUGCCUUUCGAUGCCGAACACUCAAUGCUGCAGAGGCGACUUUCAUACCGCGACUAAUACAAUGCGAUGAUAUACCGAGAACAACUACUGCAGUUUGAUAAUCAACUCAACUUUUACCUGGUUCUUCUGCGGCAGUUGAAAAUGAAUCGACAGGGGAUUCUAUCAAAUACUUUCAGAUGUCACUGCAGCACGUUACACCUUUACACAAAAUGUUUAUUUUUGAAUCACUCUCAUAAUGGAGAUUGACAAACUUCACUCGGAACGGUAAAAUAGAAUUCUUAAUCUUCAAAAACAGAUUUAUCAACCGUACUUUCAUCCAGUUUCCAAAGGAUAUGUCUCACCGCAAGGUGAACAAGGGAAAAUUGAUCAAAUUUUCAGGGAAACUAAUGUUUGCUAUAAUAAAGGUUGAAUGCGCAUCGCAUAUUUUUCAUCUUUAACUUUAAAGCAAAGAGAAUAAUCAUGCUACAAUUUUCUCAAUUACCUGCCUUUAAAGUGCUAGUCAAAGCAAGCAACCAAAUUUUUCUUCAAAGACAAAAC
This is a long non-coding RNA of Lingula anatina, 885 nucleotides long. NCBI's taxonomy places the organism in Eukaryota, Metazoa, Brachiopoda, Lingulata, Lingulida, Lingulidae. The record is from RefSeq and is a predicted model, not a curated record.